UGGGGAAUAUUGCACAAUGGAGGGAACUCUGAUGCAGCGACGCCGCGUGAACGAAGAAGGCUUUCGAGUCGUAAAGUUCUUUUAUAUGGGAAGAUAAUGACGGUACCAUAAGAAAAAGCCCCGGCUAACUACGUGCCAGCAGCCGCGGUAAUACGUAGGGGGCUAGCGUUGUCCGGAAUCACUGGGCGUAAAGGGUUCGCAGGCGGAAAUGCAAGUCAGGUGUAAAAGGCAGUAGCUUAACUACUGUAAGCAUUUGAAACUGCAUAUCUUGAGAAGAGUAGAGGUAAGUGGAAUUUUUAGUGUAGCGGUGAAAUGCGUAGAUAUUAGGAGGAAUACCGGUGGCGAAGGCGACUUUCUGGACUUUUACUGACGCUCAGGUACGAAAGCGUGGGGAGCAAACAGG
This 403-nucleotide ribosomal RNA is filed under the name Verrucomicrobiota bacterium. RNAcentral's name for it is "Verrucomicrobia bacterium partial 16S ribosomal RNA". It matches the Rfam family "Bacterial small subunit ribosomal RNA", at positions 355 to 776 of the family's 1533-position model. Lineage: Bacteria; Pseudomonadati; Verrucomicrobiota. The record is from RNAcentral.